CGCGCUCUGCGAGGGCUCGUGCUGGGGGAGCGCUCCUGGCUCGGAGCAGAGUAGACUCUGGCCACACAGCCCCUCCUGGGAAGCUUGGGGCCGCACCAACAGGCUUGGUGCCCUCAGCUGGGAAGAACUCCGCUGAAGGGUGGAGGGCUGCGCUGCUGCUGCUGCGGAGAUCUUGGCCGAACAAGGCCGGGACCCCUGGGUGCGGCUGAGGAGCCGUCAGGAGGCGCUCUGCCUGGCCCCAGCCCGGCCUCCAGGGGACUCUCCCUGGGGACCCAGGAGGCCUGGCUCACGUUUCUUAUUUAUAUAGAAGACAUUUCGCUCCUUUUGUACAUUUUUAAUGGGCCAGCAGGGAAGCCUCAAUGCAGCCAAGUCAGUGAGCCCACGUGGGCUGUGAGGACGAGCCUGGGACCUCUGGAGAGGGAGGGGAUUUGAGGCAAAGAUGGACAAGAAUCCGCCGUCAAAGCUUCUAUCUUUCUUUGAAUUACAUACGCUUCCCACAGGGCUGUGGGUGCUGUGCAGGAGCCAGUGGGGACACAGGAGGCAAAUGAAACUUUGAGCAGCCAUCUCGGACCCUGACUACAGGUACUAGCCUUUCUGAGCAUGGUCGUUUAAAAAAAAAGAAGCGGUGUCUCAUUUAAAGGUUGAGCAAACACAUCUGUGGUGACGGAUGGGGAAGUUUCAAAGGUGACUGAUAAGUUUUGGCCCGACUACCUGGAUGAAUUAAACUGUUCAUUGCUAGGUAGAAUAUUCAUGGUAAGAGUUGCAUUAGAGAUGGUGGUGAGAAUCAAGGGGCUUACUUUUUUUGAAACGUUAGUGUUUAGUGCCUGGGUUUACCAGACUGAAUCCCAGGGGAAGAGUUGAAACCUCAUCUCCUUAGAGAUGAUAUGUAUGUCUGAGAAAUCACCAUGAGGCCAUCUAAGAAAUGAGUUUUCUAGAGAAGAUAACAGGACAAAGACUGAAGCCUGGGGCACUUCAACCUUUAGAGCUCAGGAUGCAGAGGAGUCCUAAAUGAGGCUGAGAAGAAACAGUGAAGGAAGGGGAAAAUCAGAAUAGUAUGGUGGUUCCAGAGGCUAAAUUAAGAAGUAUUUUGUAAGGAAGGAAUGAGUGAUCAGCGUUAGCAAAUGCUGCAAAAACAUGAAGAUAGUAAAGACAGUGGCCCGAUGGACCUCACCAACACGCUAAACCCAACAAGGAGGAUUAAGAAGAGAUUAGAUGGUGAAGGAAUGGAGAGAAUGAUCACAGACAAGAACUUUUGAGUUUUGCUAUAAAAAGAAGUAGAGAAAUGGGAUACAUACAGGGGGUAAGGCGAAAGAGGAGAGUGAAGGGCAUAUACAGAGGCUGACACGGGGCACCCUCCUCUGUCACCCUUCACCUACUCAUGAUGAGGGUGGAGGCCAACCCCGCCUGUGAGCUCCUGCUGCAAUCCAGCUCCGCCAAAUGCCUUCUCUGAAAGAGACUCCUGGAGUGCCUGGAGAGCUGCUGGAGGGGUUCAUCAAGAGGAUGUGACUGCUGCUUCAUCUGUGAGCUGGACCCAGGCAAUCAGAGGCUCCUCACCCCCUCCCUGGACCUUGGCAUGUACAUUUCACCCACUCUUCCCAUAGUGGAAACCGUUUCAAGGACGCAGCCUUGAGAGAGCAAUGUGUUGUUGAGACCAUCAGGACAGUAUACAUGACUGAACCCAGUAGAGGCCUCUGUGUGAACUUUUAAAAUUCUGGUGGGUGGAUACAGAGAUCUCAUCUUGCAGCCAAUCAAGACAAGACUCAUAAUGUAAAGUCCCUUGCUUAUUAAACCUGCCACCUCACAGUCUGGAGUGGUUUACCUCUUUCUUCAGUCUCUCCUUGCCCUCCAUGUAUAGGGCUCAGUUUCAGAUUUUACCUGAAGAACUCCUGGGGUUGGGAACCACAAGAGUUCCUCAGAUUCCAGUCCCCUGGCCCCUGUGACGCAACAUAACAUCUUCAUUGGCCUCCUUAAUGAAUAAUGAGGAUAAUUUCACUUCCCAAGAAACACAUAACAACUUUCCAAAAUUGAGUGUCAGUUUAUAUGCAAAGCCUAUUGAAUGGCUUCUGGUUGGUCAAGGGGAGAAAGGAGAGAAGGUGUUUUGCGGGGGAAGGGAGGUGUGCAUGUGUCUGUGUGGUUGGGGAUUGAAUCGAGGAUAGGAGUCAAGAAAAUCUUCUGCCUGAGCAUCACAUUCAUGGAGGAGCUUGAAUUUAGAAUUCUGAUAUAAUUUCCAAAUUAGUUUAUGUGUAAACUCACAAAGGUACACUUGAAAGAUAGUCAUUGUUUCAUUUCUGUCCUAUUUCUGGAUCAUACUUCCUGUGGUGUAUUGUGAAUUAUUUUAAAAAUAAAUGCUGUACUUACCUCAUAGACAACAUAA
Molecule: long non-coding RNA, 2374 nt
Organism: Equus asinus (donkey)
Lineage: Eukaryota; Metazoa; Chordata; Mammalia; Perissodactyla; Equidae
Source: Ensembl